ACGCUCGACACCUACGGGGGCAGCAGUGAGGAAUAUUGGUCAAUGGACGCAAGUCUGAACCAGCCAUGCCGCGUGCAGGAUGACGGCUCUAUGAGUUGUAAACUGCUUUUGUACGAGGGUAAACGCAGAUACGUGUAUCUGUCUGAAAGUAUCGUACGAAUAAGGAUCGGCUAACUCCGUGCCAGCAGCCGACGGUAAUCUGAGGCGGGCGUGGCGAAGGC
RNAcentral lists this ribosomal RNA (221 nucleotides) under uncultured bacterium. RNAcentral's name for it is "partial 16S ribosomal RNA". It matches the Rfam family "Bacterial small subunit ribosomal RNA", at positions 328 to 544 of the family's 1533-position model. The record is from RNAcentral.